CGGACGGGUGAGUAAUGUCUGGGAAACUGCCCGAUGGAGGGGGAUAACUACUGGAAACGGUAGCUAAUACCGCAUAACGUCGCAAGACCAAAGAGGGGGACCUUAGGGCCUCUUGCCAUCGGAUGUGCCCAGAUGGGAUUAGCUAGUAGGUGGGGUAAUGGCUCACCUAGGCGACGAUCCCUAGCUGGUCUGAGAGGAUGAUCAGCCACACUGGAACUGAGACACGGCCCAG
This 232-nucleotide ribosomal RNA is filed under the name uncultured bacterium. RNAcentral describes it as "partial 16S ribosomal RNA". It matches the Rfam family "Bacterial small subunit ribosomal RNA", at positions 99 to 334 of the family's 1533-position model. The record is from RNAcentral.